GAGGGUAUAGCUCAAGUGGUAGAGCACAUGGUUAGCAUGCAUGAGGUCCUGGGUUCAAUCCCCAGUACCUCCU
This 73-nucleotide transfer RNA is filed under the name Camelus bactrianus (Bactrian camel). It matches the Rfam family "tRNA". From Rfam's summary of the family: Transfer RNA (tRNA) molecules are approximately 80 nucleotides in length. Their secondary structure includes four short double-helical elements and three loops (D, anti-codon, and T loops). The record is from Rfam by way of RNAcentral. RNAcentral also lists the same sequence under 2 other names. Lineage: Eukaryota; Metazoa; Chordata; Mammalia; Artiodactyla; Camelidae.